Molecule: long non-coding RNA, 266 nt
Filed under: Homo sapiens (human)
Lineage: Eukaryota; Metazoa; Chordata; Mammalia; Primates; Hominidae
Description: non-protein coding LINC02237:15
Source: RNAcentral
GUUCUGAGGGACAUGGACAUUGCAGACUUUUUCACCAACCAGGAAAACUUUUCAGGCAUCACCCAAGAGGUCCAGCUGAAGAUGUAACAGGUGGUUCAUAAGUCCAUGCUGCAACUUGAUGAGAAGAGUGUGAGGCAGCUGCCACCACUGGGGAUGUCCUAAAGUUGAUGUUCAAGCCUCUUAUUAUCAUUUUCAGCUGGCCCUUCAUUGUGAUGACCUUUGACCAUUUCAGAUACAGCAGCCUUUUCCUGGGCAAGGUCAUUAAU